RNAcentral lists this ribosomal RNA (484 nucleotides) under uncultured bacterium. RNAcentral describes it as "partial 16S ribosomal RNA". It matches the Rfam family "Bacterial small subunit ribosomal RNA", at positions 30 to 507 of the family's 1533-position model. The record is from RNAcentral.
AUUGAACGCUGGCGGCAGGCCUAACACAUGCAAGUCGAGCGGAUGAAGGGAGCUUGCUCCUGGAUUCAGCGGCGGACGGGUGAGUAAUGCCUAGGAAUCUGUCUGGUAGUGGGGGAUAACGUCCGGAAACGGGCGCUAAUACCGCAUACGUCCUGCGGGAGAAAGUGGGUGAUCUUCGGACCUCACGCUAUCAGAUGAGCCUAGGUCGGAUUAGCUAGUUGGUGGGGUAAAGGCCUACCAAGGCGACGAUCCGUAACUGGUCUGAGAGGAUGAUCAGUCACACUGGAACUGAGACACGGUCCAGACUCCUACGGGAGGCAGCAGUGGGGAAUAUUGGACAAUGGGCGAAAGCCUGAUCCAGCCAUGCCGCGUGUGUGAAGAAGGUCUUCGGAUUGUAAAGCACUUUAAGUUGGGAGGAAGGGCAGUAAGUUAAUACCUUGCUGUUUUGACGUUACCAACAGAAUAAGCACCGGCUAACUUCGUG